This 253-nucleotide ribosomal RNA is filed under the name uncultured bacterium. RNAcentral's name for it is "partial 16S ribosomal RNA". It matches the Rfam family "Bacterial small subunit ribosomal RNA", at positions 524 to 776 of the family's 1533-position model. The record is from RNAcentral.
UACAGAGGGUGCAAGCGUUAUUCGGAAUUACUGGGCGUAAAGCGCGCGUAGGCGGCUUUGCAAGUCGGGUGUGAAAUCCCCAGGCUUAACCUGGGAACUGCAUUCGAGACUGCAUUGCUAGAGUAUGGGAGAGGGAAGUGGAAUUUCCGGUGUAGCGGUGAAAUGCGUAGAUAUCGGAAGGAACAUCAGUGGCGAAAGCGACUUCCUGGACCAAUACUGACGCUCAUGUGCGAAAGCGUGGGGAGCAAACAGG